AGGGGUAGGAUUAUGGGGGACAGGUGUCAGGGGGAUCCAGUGGUGCAGCGAGCCCGGCCUUUUUUUUUUGACUCCAGAGCAGUCGAGCCAGUCCCUACAGUCCAAUAUGGUGAACUUGAUGCAGGGGAAGGAACUUCUGCUGGAAAUGUGGCCUUGCAGUCUUUCCAUCCACAGUAGUGGAGUGGCUCAGCCAGAUGAGGAGGAGAAAGAAGAGGACGCAGGAUGUCACGUUCCAAGAGAUCUUGCAAGCCUCUGGUGCUUCAGAUAUCGAGCACAAGGCUUGUAAAAUCCCCUAGCAGAAUGAAUGGACAGGGAUAGUAUGAAGAAGAGAAAAGCACAGGAAAAGGAGAGAGAUAUCCAGCAGGAGAUGCAAGCACUUCUAAAGUAGCAAACAAACAUGCUGGAGGCUCUUGUUGACCUUCAGGUUCAACAGACCCACGCUCUCCUCCCUCUGCAGCCCAUAGAGAACUGCAUUCUGGGACAUCCCUGUGCACCCCCACAUUCCACAUGGUGUCUUGGGCUGCUUCAGCUACCCCUACCGCUCCACCCUGCGGGAGAGUACAGGCAAUCACAGCCAUACACUGACCUGUGAGAGAGACGGUUGUUGUAUGUGUUGUGAAAUGGAAAUGACUGUUCUUUUCCCUGUAUUUAUAAAGUUUUGUUCAGUUAUAAAUGUCUGUUUGCAUGAGUUUGGAAUAAAAGUCCAUUUAUGGAAACUUAA
Caretta caretta (loggerhead turtle) is the source of this 721-nucleotide non-coding RNA. NCBI's taxonomy places the organism in Eukaryota, Metazoa, Chordata, Testudines, Cheloniidae. The record is from RefSeq and is a predicted model, not a curated record.